Molecule: ribosomal RNA, 497 nt
Filed under: uncultured bacterium
Lineage: Bacteria
Description: partial 16S ribosomal RNA
Rfam family: Bacterial small subunit ribosomal RNA
Source: RNAcentral
GAUGAACGCUGGCGGCGUGCCUAAUACAUGCAAGUCGAGCGAACGGACGAGAAGCUUGCUUCUCUGAUGUUAGCGGCGGACGGGUGAGUAACACGUGGAUAACCUACCUAUAAGACUGGGAUAACUUCGGGAAACCGGAGCUAAUACCGGAUGAUAUUUUGAACCGCAUGGUUCAAAAGUGAAAGACGGUCUUGCUGUCACUUAUAGAUGGAUCCGCGCUGCAUUAGCUAGUUGGUAAGGUAACGGCUUACCAAGGCAACGAUGCAUAGCCGACCUGAGAGGGUGAUCGGCCACACUGGAACUGAGACACGGUCCAGACUACUAAGGGAGGCAGCAGUAGGGAAUCUUCCGCAAUGGGCGAAAGCCUGACGGAGCAACGCCGCGUGAGUGAUGAAGGUCUUCGGAUCGUAAAACUCUGUUAUUAGGGAAGAACAUAUGUGUAAGUAACUGUGCACAUCUUGACGGUAACUAAUCAGAAAGCCACGGCUAACUACGUG